RNAcentral lists this ribosomal RNA (173 nucleotides) under uncultured Enterobacter sp. RNAcentral describes it as "partial 16S ribosomal RNA". It matches the Rfam family "Bacterial small subunit ribosomal RNA", at positions 790 to 962 of the family's 1533-position model. The record is from RNAcentral. Lineage: Bacteria; Pseudomonadati; Pseudomonadota; Gammaproteobacteria; Enterobacterales; Enterobacteriaceae.
GUAGUCCACGCCGUAAACGAUGUCGACUUGGAGGUUGUGCCCUUGAGGCGUGGCUUCCGGAGCUAACGCGUUAAGUCGACCGCCUGGGGAGUACGGCCGCAAGGUUAAAACUCAAAUGAAUUGACGGGGGCCCGCACAAGCGGUGGAGCAUGUGGUUUAAUUCGAUGCAACGC